RNAcentral lists this ribosomal RNA (119 nucleotides) under Pteropus alecto (black flying fox). The record is from RNAcentral. Lineage: Eukaryota; Metazoa; Chordata; Mammalia; Chiroptera; Pteropodidae.
GUCUACAGCCAUUUUACCCUGAACAGGUCUGAACCUGUGUGAUCUCAGAAACUAAGCAGGGUCAGGCCUGGUUAGUACUUGGAUGGGAGACCACCUAGGAAGACCAGGUGCUGUACAUG